GACGAACGCUGGCGGCGUGCCUAAUACAUGCAAGUAGAACGCACAGUUUAUACCGUAGCUUGCUACACCAUAGACUGUGAGUUGCGAACGGGUGAGUAACGUGUAGGUAACCUGCCUGGUAGCGGGGGAUAACUAUUGGAAACGAUAGCUAAUACCGCAUAAUAUUGAUUAUUGCAUGAUAAUUGAUUGAAAGAUGCUAUUGCAUCACUACCAGAUGGACCUGCGUUGUAUUAGCUAGUAGGUGAGGUAACGGCUCACCUAGGCGACGAUACAUAGCCGACCUGAGAGGGUGAUCGGCCACACUGGGACUGAGACACGGCCCAGACUCCUACGGGAGGCAGCAGUAGGGAAUCUUCGGCAAUGGACGAAAGUCUGACCGAGCAACGCCGCGUGAGUGAAGAAGGUUUUCGGAUCGUAAAGCUCUGUUGUAAGAGAAGAACGGGUGUGAGAGUUGAAAGUUCACACUGUGACGGUAUCUUACCAGAAAGGGACGGCUAACUACGUG
This 505-nucleotide ribosomal RNA is filed under the name uncultured bacterium. Its description in RNAcentral is "partial 16S ribosomal RNA". It matches the Rfam family "Bacterial small subunit ribosomal RNA", at positions 28 to 507 of the family's 1533-position model. The record is from RNAcentral.